GUUGAAACACCGGUUCUCAUCCGAUCACCGAAGUUAAGCAACGUCGAGCCUGGUCAUUACCUAGAUGAGUGACCGCUUGGGAAAACCAGGUGCUGUAAG
RNAcentral lists this ribosomal RNA (99 nucleotides) under Acanthosepion pharaonis. The record is from RNAcentral. Lineage: Eukaryota; Metazoa; Mollusca; Cephalopoda; Sepiida; Sepiidae.